This 141-nucleotide non-coding RNA is filed under the name Pseudomonas aeruginosa. RNAcentral describes it as "radC RNA". It matches the Rfam family "radC RNA". Lineage: Bacteria; Pseudomonadati; Pseudomonadota; Gammaproteobacteria; Pseudomonadales; Pseudomonadaceae. The record is from RNAcentral.
CUCACCUCAUGUUCCGCUGACGUCGUCAGCGACAUGCCAGGCAGCUCCGGUCUUCAAGACUGCCCACGGUUACCCGUGCGACCGACCCGUUCGCCCCGCAUCCCUCGUGCGAACACCCACCAGCUUACUGGUGGUGGAUGC